GGAUGAACGCUGGCGGCGUGCCUAAUACAUGCAAGUCGAGCGAACGGACGAGAAGCUUGCUUCUCUGAUGUUAGCGGCGGACGGGUGAGUAACACGUGGAUAACCUACCUAUAAGACUGGGAUAACUUCGGGAAACCGGAGCUAAUACCGGAUAAUAUUUUGAACCGCAUGGUUCAAAAGUGAAAGACGGUCUUGCUGUCACUUAUAGAUGGAUCCGCGCUGCACUAGCUAGUUGGUAAGGUAACGGCUUACCAAGGCAACGAUGCAUAGCCGACCUGAGAGGGUGAUCGGCCACACUGGAACUGAGACACGGUCCAGACUCCUACGGGAGGCAGCAGUAGGGAAUCUUCCGCAAUGGGCGAAAGCCUGACGGAGCAACGCCGCGUGAGUGAUGAAGGUCUUCGGAUCGUAAAACUCUGUUAUUAGGGAAGAACAUAUGUGUAAGUAACUGUGCACAUCUUGACGGUACCUAAUCAGAAAGCCACGGCUAACUACGUG
RNAcentral lists this ribosomal RNA (498 nucleotides) under uncultured bacterium. Its description in RNAcentral is "partial 16S ribosomal RNA". It matches the Rfam family "Bacterial small subunit ribosomal RNA", at positions 27 to 507 of the family's 1533-position model. The record is from RNAcentral.